GGUAAUUUGUCAUCUAUUAGAUCAUAUUCAUGGCCAACAGAAACUUUGGAGUGGUUCACUACACUCCAUCCAAUAUAUAUCACCUUUGCUGCCGUUCUUUUACAACAUCAUUUCUUCAGUUUGUGUAGUAUAUUGUAGUCUGAUUCUGAUUAGAUAAUACAAACCUUCCUUGGCUGCGUUGAUCACAUCUCGUCACAUUUGUC
RNAcentral lists this unclassified non-coding RNA (203 nucleotides) under Hevea brasiliensis (rubber tree). Lineage: Eukaryota; Viridiplantae; Streptophyta; Magnoliopsida; Malpighiales; Euphorbiaceae. The record is from RNAcentral.